Molecule: ribosomal RNA, 473 nt
Filed under: uncultured organism
Description: partial 16S ribosomal RNA
Rfam family: Bacterial small subunit ribosomal RNA
Source: RNAcentral
CACUCCUACGGGAGGCAGCAGUGGGGAAUUUUGGACAAUGGGCGAAAGCCUGAUCCAGCAAUGCCGCGUGAGUGAAGAAGGCCUUCGGGUUGUAAAGCUCUUUUGUCAGGGAAGAAACGGUGAAAGCUAAUAUCUUUUGCUAAUGACGGUACCUGAAGAAUAAGCACCGGCUAACUACGUGCCAGCAGCCGCGGUAAUACGUAGGGUGCAAGCGUUAAUCGGAAUUACUGGGCGUAAAGCGUGCGCAGGCGGUUUUGUAAGUCUGAUGUGAAAUCCCCGGGCUCAACCUGGGAAUUGCAUUGGAGACUGCAAGGCUAGAAUCUGGCAGAGGGGGGUAGAAUUCCACGUGUAGCAGUGAAAUGCGUAGAUAUGUGGAGGAACACCGAUGGCGAAGGCAGCCCCCUGGGUCAAGAUUGACGCUCAUGCACGAAAGCGUGGGGAGCAAACAGGAUUAGAAACCCCGGUAGUCCCAU